UAGUCAUAUGCUUGUCUCAAAAAUUACCCCGUGCAAGUCCCAUUACAAGCCAAAUUAAGGCAAAACCGCAAAAGGCUCAUUAAAUCAUUUAUGGUUCCUUGGAUCGUACAAUCCAUUACUUGAAUAACUGUGGUAAUUCUAAAGCUAAUACAUGCAAACAAAAUCCCAACCAAAAAUGGAAGGAACGCUUUUAUUAAAUCAAAACCAAUCGGGGCUUAUGCCCCGCACUUCUUGGUGACUCUAAAUAACUUACAGCUGAUCGCACGGUCCUCGUACCGGCAACGCAUCUUUCAAAUGUCUGACUUAUCAACUGUCGAUGGUAAAUUCUGCGCCUACCAUGGUUGUAACGGGUAACGGGAAAUCAGGGUUCGAUUCCGGAAAGGGAGCCUGAAAAACGGCUACCACAUCCAAGGAAGGCAGCAGGCGCGCAAAUUACCCACUCCCGGCACGGGGAGGUAGUGACAAAAAAUAACGAUACGGGACUCAUCCAAGGCCCCGUAAUCGGAAUGAGUACACUUUAAAUCCUUUAACAAGUACCA
RNAcentral lists this ribosomal RNA (539 nucleotides) under uncultured eukaryote. RNAcentral's name for it is "bacterial SSU rRNA". It matches the Rfam family "Eukaryotic small subunit ribosomal RNA", at positions 21 to 546 of the family's 1831-position model. The record is from RNAcentral.